This 200-nucleotide ribosomal RNA is filed under the name uncultured bacterium. RNAcentral describes it as "partial 16S ribosomal RNA". It matches the Rfam family "Bacterial small subunit ribosomal RNA", at positions 29 to 258 of the family's 1533-position model. The record is from RNAcentral.
AACGAACGCUGGCGACAGGCUUAACACAUGCAAGUCGAACGCCCCGCAAGGGGAGUGGCAGACGGGUGAGUAACGCGUGGGAAUCUACCGUACCCUACGGAAUAACGCAUGGAAACGUGUGCUAAUACCGUAUACGCCCUUAGGGGGAAAGAUUUAUCGGGGUAUGAUGAGCCCGCGUUGGAUUAGCUAGUUGGUGGGGA